UCUGCACGAACUCAGGGCAGGUGAGAGAGAAGAUGGGCGGUGCUGUUUGUGAGGAAAUAAUGAGGUGAGGUGAGCACGACGGCUAAAGAAAAAGUCGACCAAAGCAAAGAAUCCUAAGAAAAAAAAGGGCAGGGAGGGAGGCAGGCAGAGCAGCGUCCUGUCUCCCGUCUCCAUCCUUCGGGUUUCGUUCCUGGCUUUCCCCUUCCGCUCUUCCACCCUACCUUCACCUGCUUCAGGCAGCCGAGGGUUUCGGACUUUCGUGUUUCUUGUCGUCGCCGUCGCCGCUGCCGCCGCCGCAGGCUAGUGCUAUAUUGAAGGAGAUAGAGUUGUCAAGAAGAAAGUCCAAGGAGAUAAAUUUAUGGCUUUUGAUGCAAACAAUCUUGUGAUGCACAUCAGGAGACUAGUGCGCUCCUCUAUCAGACUUGGGUAUCAUUCUGCUUGCGGCCAUCCUGAAGUGCUCGGUGCCGGCAUAGCGUUGUUGUUUCUUCAUGCUCUGUGUCCUUCUCUGUUCGCCUUUGUGCUGUCUUCCUCUCCGGUCAUCGUUUUAACCGCGCUUCUUCUCGGAGCACUUUUGAGUUAAGGUGAAGCUGAUGUACCCUUGGAUGGAGAGGAGACACUUGAGGAGCAUGAAUCUUUGUCCCUUAAA
This is a long non-coding RNA of Triticum aestivum (bread wheat), 646 nucleotides long. RefSeq lists it as uncharacterized. NCBI's taxonomy places the organism in Eukaryota, Viridiplantae, Streptophyta, Magnoliopsida, Poales, Poaceae. The record is from RefSeq and is a predicted model, not a curated record. The transcript has 2 exons.